RNAcentral lists this ribosomal RNA (780 nucleotides) under Cryptosporidium parvum. RNAcentral's name for it is "SSU rRNA". It matches the Rfam family "Eukaryotic small subunit ribosomal RNA", at positions 237 to 1049 of the family's 1831-position model. The record is from RNAcentral. Lineage: Eukaryota; Apicomplexa; Conoidasida; Eucoccidiorida; Cryptosporidiidae.
AUAUAAUUGGUGACUCAUAAUAACUUUACGGAUCACAAUUAAUGUGACAUAUCAUUCAAGUUUCGGACCUAUCAGCUUUAGACGGUAGGGUAUUGGCCUACCGUGGCAAUGACGGGUAACGGGGAAUUAUGGUUCGAUUCCGGAGAGGGAGCCUGAGAAACGGCUACCACAUCUAAGGAAGGCAGCAGGCGCGCGAAUUACCCAAUCCUAAUACAGGGAGGUAGUGACAAGAAAUAACAAUACAGGACUUUUUGGUUUUAUAAUUGGAAUGAGUUAAGUAUAAACCCCUUUACAAGUAUCAAUUGGAGGGCAAGUCUGGUGCCAUCAGCCGCGGUAAUCCCAGCUCCAAUAGCGUAUAUUAAAGUUGUUGCAGUUAAAAAGCUCGUAGUGGGAUUUCUGUUAAUAAUUUAUAUAAAAUAUUUUGAUGAAUAUUUAUAUAAUAUUAACAUAAUUCAUAUUACUAUUUUUUUUUUUAGUAUAUGAAAUUUUACUUUGAGAAAAUUAGAGUGCUUAAAGCAGGCAUAUGCCUUGAAUACUCCAGCAUGGAAUAAUAUUAAAGAUUUUUAUCUUUUUUAUUGGUUCUAAGAUAAGAAUAAUGAUUAAUAGGGACAGUUGGGGGCAUUUGUAUUUAACAGUCAGAGGUGAAAUUCUUAGAUUUGUUAAAGACAAACUAAUGCGAAAGCAUUUGCCAAGGGUGUUUUCAUUAAUCAAGAAGGAAAGUUAGGGGAUCGAAGACGAUCAGAUACCGUCGUAGUCUUAACCAUAAACUAUGCCAACUAC